AUUCUGCCCAUGCGGGGAAGGAUGAGAAGCUUCGACCAAGGUUCGACUCGAGUGCCAGCGAGAGAGCGUUGCCGCAGGCAACGACCCGUAGGGCGAAGCGCGCAGCGCUGAGUAAUCCUUCCCCCACCACAA
Molecule: small RNA, 132 nt
Filed under: Escherichia coli
Lineage: Bacteria; Pseudomonadati; Pseudomonadota; Gammaproteobacteria; Enterobacterales; Enterobacteriaceae
Also listed under: 1 other name
Description: RtT sRNA
Rfam family: RtT RNA
About the family: This family represents a bacterial cis-regulatory element known as RtT RNA. The exact function of RtT is unknown although it is thought that it may be involved in changing the cellular response in relation to amino acid starvation.
Source: RNAcentral